ACAAGCGGUGGAGCAUGUGGUUAAUUCGAAGCAACGCGAAGAACCUUACCAGGUCUUGACAUCCCCUGACAACCCGAGAGAUCGGGCGUCCCCUUCGGGGGACAGGGUGACAGGUGGUGCAUGGUUGUCGUCAGCUCGUGUCGUGAGAUGUUGGGUUAAGUCCCGCAACGAGCGCAACCCUCGCCUCUAGUUGCCAGCAUUCGGUUGGGCACUCUAGAGGGACUGCCGGCGACAAGUCGGAGGAAGUGGGGAUGACGUCAAAUCAUCAUGCCCCUUAUGACCUGGGCUACACACGUGCUACAAUGGGCGGUACAAAGGGCUGCGAACCCGCGAGGGGGAGCGAAUCCCAAAAAGCCGCUCUCAGUUCGGAUUGCAGGCUGCAACUCGCCUGCAUGAAGCCGGAAUCGCUAGUAAUCGCGGAUCAGCAUGCCGCGGUGAAUACGUUCCCGGGCCUU
Molecule: ribosomal RNA, 455 nt
Filed under: uncultured Geobacillus sp.
Lineage: Bacteria; Bacillati; Bacillota; Bacilli; Caryophanales; Anoxybacillaceae
Description: bacterial SSU rRNA
Rfam family: Bacterial small subunit ribosomal RNA
Source: RNAcentral